CCAGAUUUGGACUUCACUUUUCUGGAGAUGAAUCCUUUUGCAUUGGUUGAUGGAAAGCCAUAUCCUUUGGAUAUGAGAGGCGAGCUGGAUGACACUGCUACUUUCAAGAACUUCAAAAAGUGGGGCAGUAUUGAAUUUCCAAUGCCUUUUGGAAGAGUUAUGCGUCCUACAGAGAAAUUUAUUCACGGGCUAGAUG
Pyrus x bretschneideri (Chinese white pear) is the source of this 196-nucleotide long non-coding RNA. RefSeq lists it as uncharacterized. The transcript has 2 exons. The record is from RefSeq and is a predicted model, not a curated record. Lineage: Eukaryota; Viridiplantae; Streptophyta; Magnoliopsida; Rosales; Rosaceae.